Molecule: non-coding RNA, 116 nt
Organism: Gossypium raimondii (Peruvian cotton)
Lineage: Eukaryota; Viridiplantae; Streptophyta; Magnoliopsida; Malvales; Malvaceae
Source: Rfam
UAUUAAAAAUUUUAUCAUUUCCUACUGUUAAAAACUAGCAUGGUUAAUGCACGUGUUCCUUAUGGUAACGUAUAUGGAUUAGUUUUUAACCGUAAAAAUGGAUGAAAUUUUUAACA